Molecule: small RNA, 1042 nt
Filed under: Pan troglodytes (chimpanzee)
Lineage: Eukaryota; Metazoa; Chordata; Mammalia; Primates; Hominidae
Description: retained intron
Source: RNAcentral
GCCAUCGCGCACUGGGGCUCCGGGCGGCUGGGACCGGCCUGGGGUAGCUGCGCAGCAGGUCUGUGGGUUCUGGCACCACCUGAGCCCACUGGGCAUCUGGUCAUCCCUGGCACCUCUCCUUUGGAGCCACCUUGUCCCUGGCUAGACAGUCACAUUUUCCAGUGCCGUUCUGGAAAGAUGCUGCCUUUGGAGAAGGCGUUUGCCUCCCCCAGGAGCUCCCCAGCCCCGCCGGAUCUGCCCACGCCGGGGUCAGCAGCCGGAGUCCAGCAGGAAGAACCCGAGACCAUCCCUGAGAGGACCCCUGCUGACCUGGAGUUCUCCCGCCUGCGUUUCCGGGAAUUUGUCUACCAGGAGGCUGCCGGGCCCCACCAGACCCUGGCCCGGCUGCAUGAGCUGUGCCGCCAGUGGCUGAUGCCUGAGGCGCGCUCCAAGGAGCAGAUGCUGGAGCUGCUGGUGCUGGAGCAGUUCCUGGGCAUCCUGCCUGAUAAGGUCCGGCCCUGGGUGGUGGCACAGUACCCUGAGAGCUGCAAGAAGGCAGCCUCCCUGGUGGAGGGCCUCGCUGAUGUCUUGGAAGAGCCAGGGAUGCUGCUGGGCUCCCCUGCGGGCUCAUCCUCAAUUCUUAGUGAUGGAGUGUACGAGAGGCACAUGGACCCUCUGCUGCUACCAGGCGAGCUCGCGAGCCCCAGCCAGGCCCCUGGAGCUGGGGAGAUCCCGGCACCUUCUGAGACACCCUGGCUUUCUCCGGACCCCCUGUUUCUGGAACAGAGGAGGGUCAGAGAAGCAAAGACCGAAGAGGACGGCCCUGCCAACACCGAGCAGGUGGGUGGGCACGAGUCCCAGGGUGAGGGUCCUUGGCCUCAGCUUAGAGGCAUCCCCCUCCCCAUCACCAGUGCUCAGCAGAGGGCUGUGGCCCCAAACGUCCACAGCGCUGAGGCCCACAACCCACCCUGGUGGGAGCGUGAGGGCGGAAUCUUUGUGGUGUGAAGGGGGCUGCCUCCUGCAGUGCACCUGGGUUAGAGUCCCUGGCCAGGGCUGGCUCCUA